GAAAAUUAAGCAACUUGCUUCCUUCAUAGCUGAGUUGGGGCACAAUUCAAAUCAUGGACAAAAACUGUAGCUUCACAAGAAGACUCUGAAACAUGAAACAUGGAUUCAAAUAUCAGCUUUGCCACUCACUAGCUGUAAACACAGUCAAGUUUCUUGAGUCCCCAGAAUUUAGCUUCCCUGACUCUGAAGUGGAUAUAAGUAGGCUGAUCUCUCAAGGGCUUUGGGAGGAGUAAGCAGGCUAAUGGCGUACGUAGGACACUAACGUAAUGUAUGAUAACGCAUGUAGGACCAUAAUGUCAGUGUUUACUGUCCCCAUGCCGCAGCUGAACAAAAUCUCACUGAAGCACCGGCUUCCUGAUCCAUCCCAGGAUCUGUGUGUUUUAGCUCUUACAAGGUGCAGUCCAAACAAACUGAGAUGUGGCCAUUCCAUUGACUUCUUGGCCUUCCUGGAGGAGGUAGGCUCCGGUGUGUGAUCUCCUGGUUGCCGUAUCUUUGCUUCAGCUUCUCUCUCCUCUGCUUUGCCAAUCACUGGUCUCUGACUCAGGCUUCUGUCACAGUCUAUGUGGCUUCUGUAACAAAACAUCUUAGACGGGGAAACUUAAAGAGCAAAGAAUGCAUUGUUCAUUCACUGUUCUGGAGGGUGGGAAUUUGAAGACCAAGGUGCUGGCAGAUUUGGUGUCUGGUGAGCGUCCACUCCUUGCUGGAAUAGGUGAUGAAAUGUGGGUGUUCCUCACAUGACUGAAGGGGCCAAGAACGACACUUUCUAAUUACCUCCUUUAUAAGGGCACUUGUCCUGUAAUCAUGACUGAAUCACUUCUCCAUCGGCCCCACCUCCUAAUAUGAUCUCAUUAUGUAUUGGGUUCCAACAUACAUUAGGGAAUGGGAGAGCAUUCAGACCACAGUAGGCCUAUAGGUUCAACUCUUCCUGAAUGUUGGUAUAUCUGUGGCAACACAUUCAUGCUGGCUCUCACUCCUGGGGGAGUAAUCUUGUGGGGUUUUCAAUUCUCUUCCCAUUGCUGGAGAUCUCCCUUCUGGUGAAGGGGUCCUGGUGUGUGGUACUCACCUGCUCCCGGGGGAAGUUAGCAUACCUGCGUUUUGCUGACUCUUAGAAACAAAGGCUGUUUAGCAACCCUCCCACCCCUCCCCUCCCAACUCCUCCCCAGUCCCAUCUCCAACUUCUCUCACCGAAACAGGUAGCUGGUUCUGUGUGUCCACGGUUCCCAAAGUCCAGAACACACCUGUAAAUCUCUCCAGGCGAUUCUCUGGUAUCCACCUACGUAGACUCUGUGCUGUUUCUUGCUGGUCUCUUCUAGAUCUUUAGUUUGAAAAUGAGGCAUAUCGACAUCCUCCAAGCCAAACCCAAGACAGUCUCCACCUCUCCUGGGAGCAUAGGCAGGAGGGAAUAGAAAUAGCCUGCCCAGUCAGGGUCCCAGCAAAAAUUCCAGACUCAGUCAGAUGCAAAUGAAUGUCAGGUUAAAGCAAACAAUAGAUAUCUGGAAAUUACCUGAGAGCGCUCAAAGGCUCUGCCCAAGUGACAGAUCUGCUGCUGCCCCGUGGAAUCCCAGAUGUGUUUCCCUUCCCUGCGCCACAUUUAGCAAUGCAGCACCGAUCCCCACUAAUGUUGCCGUCUACCUCCCUCAGACCUAGUUCUCUCACAUCACCUGAACUAGAGACAAUCCUCAGAACACCCGUUUUAAAGUAAAAAAC
Molecule: long non-coding RNA, 1707 nt
Filed under: Rattus norvegicus (Norway rat)
Lineage: Eukaryota; Metazoa; Chordata; Mammalia; Rodentia; Muridae
Description: partial HAfT8 cufflinks 00026037
Source: RNAcentral